UAUCGUGCGUGGCUUCUUCUUCUUAAAACUCCCUAACCACGAGGUUCUGAAUAGGGUUUAUGAAUUCAGAACUCCAACGGCAUCCAUAGCUUCAUCCAAUGGCUACUGCAUUUCUUGUCCGAAGAACUUCGACGAAAUUCCUCUUCCAACCUCGCUUCCAUUCUUCUUCCUCUUCUUCAGCUUCUCCAUUUCUUCCAAACCUCUGUUCUUCUCUUUUCCGAGAUUCCAAUUUCUCUAAUCAUGCAAUCUCUGUCCCUUCAUACUCCAGAAGUUUCGUCUCAGCUCCUGAAAGUUCUCUUGCUACUGCUCUCGGCACUGAUACUCGUGUUCCCGCCACUGUGAUUACUGGCUUUCUCGGCUCUGGAAAGACGACUCUCCUCAAUCAUAUUUUGACAUCUCAACAUGGCAAGCGGAUUGCUGUCAUUGAAAAUGAGUUUGGUGAGGUGGAUAUUGAUGGAUCAUUGGUUGCCAGUCACUCCUCCGUAGCUGAAGACAUUGUUAUGGUUAAUAAUGGAUGCCUUUGCUGCACUGUGCGAGGUGAUCUGGUUAAGAUGCUCUUGGAGCUGGCCAAGAAUAAACGAGACAAGUUUGAUCAUAUUGUUAUUGAAACCACAGGCCUUGCUAAGCCAGCUCCUGUUAUAGAAACGUUUUGUACAGAUGAGCUGGUUUCACGUUAUGUCAAAUUAGAUGGAGUUGUAACUUUAGUUGACUCCAAGCAUGCCAUGCAACACUUGAAUGAAGUGAAACCAAGAUUUGUAGUGAAUGAGGCUGUAGAACAAGUCGCUUAUGCUGAUCGGAUUAUAAUAAACAAGAUUGAUCUUGUAAGUCCAGAUGAAUUGGAGGAACUGACACUGAAGAUUAAGCGAAUAAAUGCGAUGGCCCAAGUCAAGCUUGCUAAGUUUGGAGAUGUUGAUGUCGACUUCGUAUUAGGAGUGGGUGGAUAUGAUCUUGACAGAAUUGAUUCUCAAGUUGAAGCUAACACCCACAAACAUGAAACUGAACAUGAGCACAAGGGACAUGAUCAUCACCAUCAUCACCAUGACCAUGUACAUGACUCUGCUGUGUCUAGUGUUAGUAUUGUUUCUGAGGGAUUACUUGACCUUGAUGAGGUUGACGAUUGGCUUGAACGAUUGAUCGAGGAGAAAGGAGAGGACUUGUAUAGAAUGAAAGGAGUGUUGAGUGUAAAGGGUUAUGAGCAGCGUUAUGUCUUUCAGGGAGUGCACUCUAUCUUGGAUGGCUGCCCAGGCAAAGAAUGGGGCCCUGAUGAAAAGAGGGUAAACAAGUUGGUAUUCAUAGGAAAGAAUUUGGACGAAACUGCCCUUAGAAAAGGCUUUAAAGGUUGUUUUAUGUGAGACGAAGCUGGCACACCAUCAGGUUCUAAUUUGGAUUUCGCACCGGAAGUUUCAUUUCAGUUUCGAUUCUAGUUCAAUGAUCGGGUUUAUGGCGUUUAGAAAUCUCGGCGAGUUCGAGUAAUCACGAGAGUAGAAAUGACUCGACUGAUUUCGACGUUCUGUUUCCUCGCGAUUAGCCUGAUCUUCUUGAUCAAGUAUGGUUUCGAUCACUUCUGUUUCUCUUUUUUACUUCUCGGAGCCGAUUUCUUUACUGUCACUUCAAUGCUGUGUAUGUCUCUUGUGUCAUUUUAGCAGGUAGCUUCUUCAAUUAACUUCGCUUAGCCUUUUUCAUGUUUUUGUUUCACAUUGCAUUUAGCUUUGAUAAGUACUGUCAUGUUCGGAUUUCGUCUGUCAAACAAACUACAGGCGAAGAAAGCAACUGAAGCGGCGUUAAGCGAUAACGAACAGUUGAUCGUAAGUUUUGAGAACAUUUUGAUUUCUUUGGAAGGGGAGAAGCCUUUAUAGAUUCAUAAAACAGUGUGAAAUGAAGUUUCUGAUCAAAGCAAUUCUGCUUUAGGAGAAUUUCCAACUGUUGGACUUGAAUCAGAUCCAGAUCAUAUAACCUCAUGCAUCAGGUGAUGGUGAAGGAGGAAUUGAAGUGACUGAAAGUAUGCAAUUGAUUCGCUAAUUUUGUGAGACUGCUUCAUUGAUCCACUGAAAGCCACUCGGACCACAGUGAAAGACUAUCCACCAUUUUUCUCCCCAAAGCUAGCGGCUGUUAUGAAGAAUCUCUUCCCUAAGAUGGAAAACUGUAUGUAACAUUCACAGCUUCAAGGGACAAGGAGGAGUUCUUUUCAGGCUUUUUCCAGUUUAUAGCUUUAAAAUCCUGCCAUUGCGAUGCUUCCGUAAUAACAAACAUUCAAAUUUUCUGUUCAUGUAGGUGUUGCCCGGGUCAUUGGAAAGCCCUUACAAAUGUGAGGCUCAAGGGAGUCGCUUUCAAUUUCUUCCAUCAUCUUCGGCGUACAUCUAGCUAGUUGGUAGAUAUUAUUGUUGAUUCGAAUCCACUGUUCACCGGCGUCAUUGCCUCCUUUUCUGGUAAAUAUUACAUACUUUUUCUGUCACUCAAUCAACACCAAAACUCACAGCUCAUUUCAUCUGCCUAUUUUCCAAAGUUAAAACAAAUCUAUUAAAGGCUAACAAGCACUUAAUCAUUCAAAAACUUAAAAACAAAACAAAAUAAUAAUGAAAUAAGAAAAUAUUACUAGGUGGAACUUCUAGUUACAGGAAAUACCAAAAAUGCUUGAAGAGUGGUACUGAGAAAACAACACCAUUUAUACACUAAAAUAGAAAGAGUUAUCUUCUUUUAUUUUCUUUUAUUUUUUCUCUUUUUAGCCUAAGGCACAUCCCCAGGAGGGCAGAAUUGAACAUGAAAUGACCUAUAAAAAAAUAUCUCAGAAGUAAAAAGGAGGAAAGAAAAAAAUGGUAUUGAUUCAUGGUAAAUCCACUCCAAAAGGCCACUAGGUAGGGAUGGUAAUCCAGACCACUGAUGUUGCUAUAAACCAGAAAGGUUAGGACAAAGCAGUUGUCAUAUUUCCUUUUUAACUUUCCUUUGUUUUCUUUUUCUCUUUCAAAUAUAUGGAUUUUGGAACAACGCUAUAUAUGUGGAGCUUCUGGGGCAAGAUAAGAAUGCAAUUUGGGUAUUGAGAAGAAAAGUAC
This is an RNA transcript of Cucurbita maxima (winter squash), 3047 nucleotides long. RefSeq lists it as uncharacterized. The record is from RefSeq and is a predicted model, not a curated record. The transcript is spliced from 14 exons. Lineage: Eukaryota; Viridiplantae; Streptophyta; Magnoliopsida; Cucurbitales; Cucurbitaceae.